CAAUAGCGUAUAUUAAAGUUGUUGCAGUUAGAAAGCUCGUAGUUGGAUUUCUGGUGGGAGCGAUCGGUCUGGCGCUUAGCGCGAGUACUUGCAUCGUCUCCGGCCAUCCUUGGGGAGAGUCUGUCUGGCAUUAGGUUGUCGGGCAGAGGAUCCUCAUCGUUUACUGUGAAAAAAUUAGAGUGUUCAAAGCAGGCUUAUGCCGUUGAAUAUAUUAGCAUGGAAUAAUAAGAUAGGACUUUGGUACUAUUUUGUUGGUUUGCGCACCAAAGUAAUGAUUAAUAGGGACAGUUGGGGGUAUUCGUAUUCCGUUGUCAGAGGUGAAAUUCUUGGAUUUACGGAAGACGAACUACUGCGAAAGCAUUUACCAAGGAUGUUUUCAUUAA
This 383-nucleotide ribosomal RNA is filed under the name uncultured eukaryote. RNAcentral describes it as "partial 18S ribosomal RNA". It matches the Rfam family "Eukaryotic small subunit ribosomal RNA", at positions 592 to 976 of the family's 1831-position model. The record is from RNAcentral.